CAGCCGCCGCGGUAAUACCGAGGGUGCGAGCGUUAAUCGGAUUUACUGGGCGUAAAGCGUGCGUAGGCGGCUAAUUGAGUCGGAUGUGAAAUCCCCGAGCUUAACUUGGGAAUUGCAUUCGAUACUGGUUAGCUAGAGUGUGGGAGAGGAUGGUAGAAUUCCAGGUGUAGCGGUGAAAUGCGUAGAGAUCUGGAGGAAUACCGAUGGCGAAGGCAGCCAUCUGGCCUAACACUGACGCUGAGGUACGAAAGCAUGGGGAGCAAACAGGAUUAGAUACCCGGGUAGUCCCUGUCUCUUAUAC
Molecule: ribosomal RNA, 301 nt
Filed under: uncultured bacterium
Lineage: Bacteria
Description: partial 16S ribosomal RNA
Rfam family: Bacterial small subunit ribosomal RNA
Source: RNAcentral